GAUGAAGAACGCAGCGAAAUGCGAUACGUUAUGUGAAUUGCAAAUUCAGUGAAUCAUCGAGUCUUUGAACGCACAUUGCGCCCCCUGGUAUUCCGGGGGGCAUGCCUGUCCGAGCGUCAUUGCUGCCCUCAAGCACGGCUUGUGUGUUGGGCCCCGUCCUCCGAUCCCGGGGGACGGGCCCGAAAGGCAGCGGCGGCACCGCGUCCGGUCCUCGAGCGUAUGGGGCUUUGUCACCCGCUCUGUAGGCCCGGCCGGCGCUUGCCGAUCAACCCAAAUUUUUUAUCCAGGUUGACCUCGGAUCAGGUAGGGAUACCCGCUGAACUUAAGCAUAUCAAUAAGCGGAGGA
RNAcentral lists this unclassified non-coding RNA (346 nucleotides) under soil metagenome. RNAcentral describes it as "partial contains 5.8S ribosomal RNA, internal transcribed spacer 2, and large subunit ribosomal RNA". The stretch from base 1 to 119 matches the Rfam family "5.8S ribosomal RNA", at positions 35 to 154 of the family's 154-position model. The record is from RNAcentral.